UUUAUGCCCGCGUCACACUGUCCCGAUUUUUACGCCGAUGGCAACACGAUUAAGGAAGUUUUCGAAAUCGGGACUGAUCGUAUCCAGAUCGGGCUAUUCGUAGUGCCAUCUUUAACCAUCGGCCACUUUUUCUAGCCUUCGGGGACAACUUCGGGAAGGGUUCUAAAUUUUUUAACAUGUUAAAAAAUCCCCGAAGGUGCGUCCGAUGUUGAGGGUUCGUAUUGAGUUCGUAUCACCAUCCUCACCAUCGUAAUGUCACCGGGAAUGCAUCUUUGAACAUCGUUUUGCAUUCAUGUUUCCAUCGUUUCCAUCGGGCAGUUUUAACAUUACGAUGUCUACACGAAUGAAUCACGAAGCUAUCCGAAGGUCUUACGAUGGCAACACGACUUCGUGAAGACCUCGUAAUCCCGUCGUGUUGCCAUCGAAUAAAAGUACGAAGGCGACAAGAUGGAACUACGACGGCAAUAAAUCCAGCUAAAUGUAAGUUAAUUUUCGCGCUAAAAUACAUUUAAAGUGUCAUGCGCGUAUUACAGGCUCAGGAUUUACGUUUACAAGUAAAAUAUUAUUUUUUGUGAAUUUUUCAUAUCAAGUAACAUAAUGAAAAUCAUAAACGCGCCUCGUACACCAACACUGCAGUUACACGAAUAUAGGGAAACCAACUUUUUCUUCAUUAUUCUGAUUUUUUAUGUAUCGUCUGAGUUGUUGUCACACGAAUGUUUACUCCAUAACCAUAUUGUUUUCUAUAUGUCAUAUUUUGCCGCAUUUGUUGCUUUCCCCACAUCCUUCCUUUUGUCUAUAUUAUUAUGAUAUUCUCCUGGAAAGAGCUCUUUUUUAAUAAAAGGGAUCAACGAACCCAUUACCUUACCUUUAAGAUAGAUCAGUAAACAUGGUCAUAAUUAUGGGUGAUUAUUCAGACUAGUGCACACAUUUUACAGUUCAAACAAGGCAAUGCCGAGCGUGGCAUCCCCUCGUAUGUAAAUUGAAUAUGCAUAUUUGAUACAUAAACUAUUUUUUCCAGUUCUUUGUCUCUUUUUCUCUGUGCUAUGGGUAUCCGAUUCCGAACUUUCCACUUCUAUAUCUAUUUUUCUUUUGGUCUUGUACUUUCCUGCUAGACUGAUACCCCUCCCUCUUCCUCUUCCUCUCCCUCUCCCUGAUUUUGGUGGCAUUAUAUGCAGAGACUCAGAGUCAAGUUUUACCCUCUAAGCCCACGGUCUUCCGUCUUAUGAUUAAACCAGAAAUUAAAUAUACAAUAUAAUAUAUAUUCAAUAUUGAUCAAACAAUUUAAAACGCG
Molecule: long non-coding RNA, 1291 nt
Filed under: Mytilus galloprovincialis (Mediterranean mussel)
Lineage: Eukaryota; Metazoa; Mollusca; Bivalvia; Mytilida; Mytilidae
Source: RNAcentral